This is a long non-coding RNA of Triticum aestivum (bread wheat), 5604 nucleotides long. RefSeq lists it as uncharacterized. The transcript is spliced from 5 exons. The record is from RefSeq and is a predicted model, not a curated record. NCBI's taxonomy places the organism in Eukaryota, Viridiplantae, Streptophyta, Magnoliopsida, Poales, Poaceae.
CCUCUCGUCCACAAGCCCCAAUCGCCUCCCGUCCUCGAGCCCCACAUCACAGCGACCCUCCUCUCCUCUCCCGUGAUUCCCGUCGCGUCGCCGCCCUUUCCUCCAUCCCCGCCCCUGUCGCGAGCCCCUCUUCUUCCCCAUCCCACCGACAUCAUCCUCUACCGCUCUCCUCGUUGUGAGUCGCUCCAGGUCGCAGAGGAUGAUAUGCAUCCGGAUCUGCGCAGUUGAGGUGAGGAACGGAGGUGGGGGGAAGGAGCAGCGAUGCUGUUGACCAGUCAGGGGACGGAGGUGGAGGAAGGAGUAGCAAGGCUGGUGAUGGGCCAGGGGCCACCAGAGGAUGCAGAAGGGGGACGACGUCGCGCUUCUCGCCACCUCCACAUCCUCCUUAUCAGCGGCGGUGCAACUCCAGCAGGGAAGGGGGACGACGCUGCGCUUCUGAUGCUGGUUCACAUGCAGGUUUCAGAGAGUAGCACCAUGCAUUGCAUGAUGACUGUGGGUGAUCUUUGCAAGACAAUGCUUUUGAGUAUCGGAAUUAUGGUCAUUCUCAAAAGGGUUAAUCAGUCAUCUGUUCGUCUGUAUUGCUACUCGGGGAGGUAAGUUCUUCCUUGCUCAUCUCAUAUUCGACAAAUUCAUGUGAACUGAGAUGACUCUCCAUGAGCUGGCCAAGGUGGUUCACGCUAAGGAAGCAGCCGACAGUGCAAGCAUGUAUAUACUGAUGGUAGUUUCUUUGACUGAAUAUGUGAACCUGGAGAAGACUCUGCUAUUAGAACGGCUGAAGGAGAGUAUGCAGAUCUUCAGUAUCUUCGACAGGUUUUUGUUCUGUUACAAGCGCUAAUGGCCUAUUUUCAUUUUGUUGAACUAUGAUUGUUUCUGUAUGCUUCUUCUCUAAAAGCAAAUUGUAUUCUGUUAUAGUUACAGUCAGUGUGGGCCUGAAAAUUCACAUCACCAAAAGAAUUGUAGAAUUUGAUAAGAGAAUUGUUUCUUAAUAAGUAAAUAAGAUACAAAUACAGUGUCUAACAUUGAUGGAAUGAACCUGCUGCAAGAGGCAAUAAAAGUGACGAUGCUUGAUUUUAUUAAUUGACAGGAUGAAAUAUUAAGUAGUAAGAUAAAUGUGAGCAUUCACCUAAUUUGUUUUUUACCUAUUGAAAUGGGUAGUUGGUCACGUACUGUCAACUUGGUACAUUCAGUGUGCGUGUUCAGGUUUUAGGAUGAAAUUUAAUCCAAGAUCAUUACUUCAUGUUUUCCUACGUUUAUGUUGGCAUCUUUGACUUUGAUAUGUUCAUUGCACUCUAUUGGUUCUGAUGCCACAAAGUGACUGUGCUUUGUUAGUACAUCUAUGGAUACUUAUGCUUUAUUCAAGACACAAUCAGUUUCUUUUUCCUUUGUAAAUAGUCUGUAGAUAUAGCGUUGGCCUGAGCCCCUAAGUGUCGUAUACUAUUUCCUGCAUGCUCAUUUUCUCUUUAUAUUCAAUUCAUGUGCCUUAGCAACAACCUAAGUUAAAGACAACAGGAAUAAAUAUUAGUUGUUUCAUCUAUGGCCUCGUCAUUUAGCUUUUACUUAAACUGAAUAAAAAAAUUGAAUAAUUUCAAUAUAUACUAUUUAAUGUUUUGCCAAGACUCUCAUAGUGUGUUAAAAAUUUAAAUAUAUAACUAUGCAAUAACAAAGUUAUAAAUUGAUCCAGUGUUUCGUAUGAAGGAUUCGAUUAGUGUAUUUGUAAUGCAGUUUUGUGAUUCAGUAUCGUCGUGGUAGUUCAAAGACCCAAGGUGAGAUCGUCAUAUUUGAUUUCUUAGUUCCUAGGUCACAAAUCAUCUGCUAUCGCCAACAUUCGAGUUGUCCAUCCAUCCAUCUAUCUAUGGUGCGCUCGCCAACCACAUCCUCUGUUCAGAUUUUGAGUGUGGCAACAGGUCAUCAGUUGUAGUGUCAAAUACAAGAUUAAGCUAUUUGAAUCUUGCCAUAUGGUAGACCUACGAGCAGAACAAAAAAAAUAUAUAACUUAUGCUGGUUAGAACAAAUGCUCAGCUCGCCUUGUUUUUUUCUUUUUUGCCUCUUUUUGGUCCUGUUCAGAGGAGAUGUUAAAUGUUGGUUGAUGUCUGCAUAUCGCCUUGUAUUUAAUGAAAAUAAGGUCCUUCGAUGGAUAUCCAUGGCUUUCAGUUUUACUUGCAGCCAAUGAAUAUAGUUAUGGCACUUGUUGCCUUGUUGCGCUGUUCAAUGAUUAUCAGGAUUUUAACACCUACACUAUAUAUCCUAGGUAAACCACAUGGUGUUGUUUUCAAAUCAUAUGUUUGUCCUAGGUAAACCACAGGAAUUUAUGAACUUUCUUGGCCGCUUUAUUAGAACUACGGGUUUGUAAUAUGCUCCGGUUUUAUCACUUUAUGAGUAUGUAUAUGGUAGGGAGCAGCACCCGUGUAAGCGAGAAAACUUGUUGGUUGCCUGCAUAUCAUGUGAUAGUUUUUGGCUACUAUUCUGCUCAUGUUUCCAUGAACCCAUUUAUGAUUCGAAGCAGUCAGGCCUCUCUCUUCCUUCUAAUUUUUCCAUGAACACCAUGGCCGCCUUCGCCGAGAGCGCCCGCAUCUUCAUCCAUUGCCUCUCUGCCAGGUACGUGCCUCCUGCCAUGCCUCUCCUUGUUCUUCCUUACCUCCAUUUUUGCUCUGAUUCUUAGGGGUAAACCUGUUUGAUUUGGUUAAUUAGGUUAAUUAGGGUGACCGUUUCUUUUUGGGUUAUCUGGGUGCGAAUUUGAUGCUUGUGUUAAAUGUUCGAGGUAUCUUGGGCAGGAAAAAAUGGUGGUAGUUAAUUUAUUGGCGCCAGUUAGUAUUACUGGAGAUUAAUUUAAUUGAUUGGCUUAAAAAACUUUCAUGUAUCAAAACAGUGUUAGUACUUUUGUGUUGUGGUAUUGAAUGGUUUACCAAAAGGAAGAGGGUUAAUUUUGCUUGCUGAAAUGAACUCAGCUAGCAACCUUGCUCUUGAAGAUUACACCACAACAACUGAAAAGAUUGCAGAGCAAAAAAAUGGUGGUGGUUAAUUUAUUGGCGCCAGUUAGUACUACUGGAGAUUAAUUUAAUUGAUUGGCUUAAAAAACUUUCAUGUAUCAAAAUAGUGUUAGUACUUUUGUGUUGUGGUAUUGAAUGGUUUACCAAAAGGAAGAGGGUUAAUUUUGCUUUCUGAAAUGAACUCAGCUAGCAAGCUUGCUCUUGAAGAUUACACCACAACAACUGAAAAGAUUGCAGAGCAACAUUAUGAUUUUAUGAAUGGAUUUAUAUCAGCAAAUCUUGCAUCUUAGUUGGUCCAGCUAUGCCUAUGCCAACAUCUGAAAGUUAUUGGCAUUCUUUUCCCCUUCUGAAUAUUUUAUUUUAAUUUGUAGGAGCUUUAGCCGGGUUGCUCAUCAGUAAAAACUGAGAAGUGUGUUUCUUCGUAGAUGGUUGCGAUAUGGAGAAAGAAUUUGGAUAUUUGGAGUGUGCACUGGACCUAUUGGAAGAUAAUUCCAUUACUAGAUUCAUAACUUUUGGAGUCCAUUCAAUAUUCAAUCACAAAAUUCACUUAUAAGAACAACUACAUACAUAUGAUUGCUGCACUCAUGAUAUCCUACUGUAUUGCUUCUUAGUGAUGAUUAAUUAUGAGAACAAAUAUAAAACUGCUGCUGCCUGUGCUAAUGGUUGGUACCCACUUGCUUUUGGAUCUUCGAUGCUGCCAUUUUUUUCCUAUCGAGUAUUGAUACUUGUUUGCUUUCUUUUGCUGUUAUGCUAAAUUUGUAUUUUGAUUUUGUAAACUAGGUCUGCACAGAAAUACAUUUAGUCCUCAAAAAUGUUAAAUGAAGACGCCCUGAUGAUGCUAAAGCAUUUCUAAAUCUGAAGUAUCGAGGAAGUUAACAACAUGGAAUGUAUGACGCUAAGUGCUCUGUGGUACAGAUGGUUUAGUAGUACCAUACUACCUUGAUUAGAUGCUUAUAACUGUGACAUGUUGCAUGAAUACUUCUGUUACGUAUAGCUAUGGCUGCCCAACAAGCGGUGAGCCUAAGAACCCCGUCGGAUGUUCAUUGCAUAUAGCUCGGGAGGCAGACAAGAGGAACCAAGCGGAUCUCCUUCCAUGACGGCAACCCAAGCAGAACCGAAAUCUUCCACGUGGCGGCAGCCAUUAGUGAGAUCUGGAGGGGAGCAGCAGCCGCGGCCUCGAUCCGGAGAAGGGGAGCAGCAGCGCCCCUCUUCUUCACACGUGGCGGCCUUGCGCAGCUGCCUCCAUCCCACGCGUGCAGCUGCCACAUGAAGGCAAGCGAGCACACAUGAAAUAGAUAUGGCAAGUGGAUUUCCUCUCACCUCAACACUUACUGAAUUCAGUACCAGAAGAAGCCUGCUAUGCCACUGAUUUUGCACUACUGGUGUAAAUAUUGAGAACUAUAUGAACUGAUGCACCUUGUGGUCUGGAAAUAUGUAUAUCUCUGUCUCCUUUUCCUAGCACUUCUCAUUUAUGAAACAAUUCAUUCCCUAUACCGUAUUUAAAUAUCUUUACAUUUGAACAUAACUUAUACUAGGAAUUCCAAGGUUUUUUAAGUAAUCGAGUGAAACCUAUUCUUGCAGGCUCCUGAUUGUGUGGAUAUUUGCAGCUUCAGAAUUAUUUUAUUCUUAGCCAUAUGUCAUCAAGGUGCAGCUGCUCAUAUGAUUUCCACUCGCUAUGGAAUUAGGAGAAGUCAGUUACUUGAUCUGACUGUUUAAAGUUCCACGGUUUUUCAAUAUAUGUUAACUAUGUUCAGAGAUCUAAAAGACUAUCAGGCUACACCAAUUCUGAAUGCAGUUUGAAAGUACUUGUUGUUCUAUGUUCUUGGGCACGUAAUAAGCUUCAAGCUUGCGACAGAAAAAGAUACACAUGCUCACAAUUAUUAUCUUCUGGCGACCAUUUUAGGCUUGUUUCACGAAGUGAGUAUGCAAGAUAACUUCAGGCAAAGUGUACAGAGGCUGCAGCUGAAGCCGGACUUUGAUGCUUGCAAGUUGGUGGAUCACCAGUUAUUAUCAGGUUCAAUCCCUUUGCCAUGUAAUACUGUGGCGACAUUGUCUGUUAUGUAUAAUUGUGCACACAGGUUUCUGUUGGAACAAUCACUGAAAACGAUGAUAGACUUUGUCUCACAUGUGUCGCUCACUGAUGAGAACUAGACUGAAGUGAAUUGUGCUAGAGAAGGAGUGGCCGGGAAAGUACACCAGUGAUGCCCUACAAGGCGAGCAGAAGAAAGCUAAAGAGAUGCUCCGUGUAAUCCCUAAGAAGCAGAAAGGGAGCAAAAGAACAGGUCCGCUUCAAGGGUAAAAUCCUCUGGGUUUUUUUUUCGAAAAGGAGGUUAUCCCCUGGCCUCUGCAUCAGAAUGAUGCAUGCGCCCAUCUUAUUAAUAAGCUGAUAAAAUCAUCUGUAAUCCCUAAUUGUGCUUUUGUGAAAAUAUGUGGAUCAGUUUGAUGCUGGACACGAUUAAUUUACUAUUGUUGGUACAUGUAGAAGUAAUUCUGGAUUAGCCACAUUGUGGUUUCCUACUAGGAACUGAAAUUAUGCCCAGUUCAUUGGCAUGGUAUUAUGUUGAUGUACUCUCAUUAUCUGCAUUAAUGUUAAUACUUCAGAACUGUUCAUAAUUUA